Long non-coding RNA from Peromyscus eremicus (cactus mouse), 400 nucleotides. RefSeq lists it as uncharacterized. Lineage: Eukaryota; Metazoa; Chordata; Mammalia; Rodentia; Cricetidae. The transcript is spliced from 2 exons. The record is from RefSeq and is a predicted model, not a curated record.
GCCCGUCCUUUCAUCCUUCAGGGGUGUUUUAACCAGAGAUAAACCCUUCCAACAUUGUGUGGGACUGUAGUUUGCUUAACAACAGUCUCAGAGGAGGCCUGCUGAUGCGCCAAAGUCUUUUUCAGUUGCCCAUACUUGGUUGUGUUCAUUGGGGAGGCCUUUAAAAGUACAGCAUGUGGAUCGGCGUGCCUCAAAACUGCAAGGGUGGGCAGGAGACACGGAGAUUAAGAACGGGAGCCUAAGGACGCGAGUUCAAUCCCUGGGACCUACAUAAAGGUGGACGGAAGAACUUACUGCCCAAAGUUGUCCUCUGAUUUCCAUAUGCACACCAGGGCAUGCAAGGGCAUGUGCACACACAUACAAGCACAUGUGCAAAAUAAUAAAGAAAUGAGUGAUUUUA